UCCCAAACUGGGAUUAGAUACCCCACUAUGCUUAGNNNCCCUAAACCUAGAUAGUUAGCUCAAACAAAACUAUCCGCCAGAGAACUACUAGCAACAGCUUAAAACUCAAAGGACUUGGCGGUGCUUUAUAUCCCUCUAGAGGAGCCUGUUCUAUAAUCGAUAAACCCCGAUAAACCUCACCAUCUCUUGCUAAUUCAGCCUAUAUACCGCCAUCUUCAGCAAACA
Molecule: ribosomal RNA, 225 nt
Filed under: Panthera onca (jaguar)
Lineage: Eukaryota; Metazoa; Chordata; Mammalia; Carnivora; Felidae
Description: partial 12S ribosomal RNA
Source: RNAcentral